Molecule: ribosomal RNA, 461 nt
Filed under: uncultured bacterium
Lineage: Bacteria
Description: SSU rRNA
Rfam family: Bacterial small subunit ribosomal RNA
Source: RNAcentral
AGGAUAAACGCUGGCGGCGUGCCUAAUACAUGCAAGUCGAGCGGCAGCGCGGUCUUCGGACUGGCGGCGAGCGGCGGACGGCUGAGUAACACGUAGGAACGUACCCCAAAGUGAGGGAUAAGCACCAGAAAUGGUGUCUAAUACCGCAUGUGCUCUAAGGAGUAAAGCUUCGGCGCUUUGGGAACGGCCUACGCAUGAUUAGCUUGUUGGUGAGGUAAUGGCUCACCAAGGCGACGAUCAUUAGCUGGUCUGAGAGGAUGAUCAGCCAGACUGGGACUGAGAACGGCCCAGACUCCUACGGGAGGCAGCAGUAGGGAAUUUUCCACAAUGGGCGAAAGCCUGAUGGAGCAACGCCGCGUGCAGGAUGAAGGCCUUAGGGUUGUAAACUGCUUUUAUGUGUGACGAAUAGUGACGGUAGCAUAUGAAUAAGGAUCGGCUAACUCCGUGCCAGCAGCCGCGGU